Molecule: ribosomal RNA, 510 nt
Filed under: Priestia megaterium
Lineage: Bacteria; Bacillati; Bacillota; Bacilli; Caryophanales; Bacillaceae
Description: bacterial SSU rRNA
Rfam family: Bacterial small subunit ribosomal RNA
Source: RNAcentral
AGAGUUUGAUCCAUGGCUCAGGAUGAACGCUGGCGGCGUGCCUAAUACAUGCAAGUCGAGCGAACUGAUUAGAAGCUUGCUUCUAUGACGUUAGCGGCGGACGGGUGAGUAACACGUGGGCAACCUGCCUGUAAGACUGGGAUAACUUCGGGAAACCGAAGCUAAUACCGGAUAGGAUCUUCUCCUUCAUGGGAGAUGAUUGAAAGAUGGUUUCGGCUAUCACUUACAGAUGGGCCCGCGGUGCAUUAGCUAGUUGGUGAGGUAACGGCUCACCAAGGCAACGAUGCAUAGCCGACCUGAGAGGGUGAUCGGCCACACUGGGACUGAGACACGGCCCAGACUCCUACGGGAGGCAGCAGUAGGGAAUCUUCCGCAAUGGACGAAAGUCUGACGGAGCAACGCCGCGUGAGUGAUGAAGGCUUUCGGGUCGUAAAACUCUGUUGUUAGGGAAGAACAAGUACGAGAGUAACUGCUCGUACCUUGACGGUACCUAACCAGAAAGCCACGCAA